AGCUAUCCGACAUCAAAAUUCAAGCUGCUGAUCCUGGCGUGUAAGCUUACUCGCACUCAUGCAAGGUCCAUUCGGCGAGUGCUCCGAUAAGAUUGUAAGUCAUAUUAGGUUUAUGGAGCAGCAUGCGCAGACAGAAUGUAACCCUGAUAAGCCUGGUAAGAGCUACCCUGGUUCUUUAACGUGCACCAGUGUAUAUCACUACCACACGGGACCACCAUUUAACGUCCUUCCCGGUAGAUUUUAGAUAGCCCAAAGCCGCCAUCUUGGACGCCAUCUUGGAUUUUCGGAAACUCCAGCACUUAAGGGGCUGACAGCAUUAUUGUUUUACUUCACACCACAAAUAUUGGAAUGGCAGAAAUCGGAGAGGGAAUCAUCGAAGUAUAGAAGGGCUACGCAUUCAUCCAUUAAUUAGAAUGAUCAGUUGUUGAACCAGUCUCUAAUCUUACAGAAGCAUUAUUUAUCUUUUUUAUGAUGAAGUCUCGGUGUUGGUUGUCUAUAUUUUCUUAAGGUAACCUUGGUUGUUAAUGUUUACAUGCAUUUAUGGAAUAUCAUGUUUGCUACAAUAGAAUUUAUAUAAGUGAUUUUUUUAUCAAUGGAAGUAAGUUUUAUAUUCAUUUUUAUAAUGUUUGUUUUUGUUGAUUCAUUUUCUAAGGAAUAUGUAUAAUGUAAAAAAAAUCUUUGAAGAUACAUGUAUAAUUUGAUUUGGAAGGUGUUUAAAUUUGGAAAUGUAACAAGAUUUGUGGAAAUAAAGAAUAAGGUACUGGGCUUGAUUUAUUAUACAGAAAAUUGACAUCUGAAUAAUCUUCACAAUUUCCCCAAAUGAGUUCAUAUCGAUUUUGUAGUGGAUUUUCUGUCAAGACUUGUGGAUACAUCUGGAUGACUGAAUAUUAUAAUGUAUUCUGUUUUUACAUUUCAGUUUAAGACAUUUUAAUUAAAAAGAUAGUACACAUAUUGUCUGUAUUUACAAAAAGAAUAUGAUUUUUUGUUAAGUUUAUAUAGGGAUAUUUUAAUGUAAAACAAUGAAUAAAAUAUAAUGAACUUUUUACAAUUCCUUAAAUUCAUUGAUUAAAUAAACAUUAGAGGGAGAUAUAAGCCUCAACAGGGACUAUGCUGACUAUGCACUUGAUUACUAGACACACAAAGUUAAAGGCCUAGCAGGACACUCAACUUGUGUGGCAGCACGAUGAAAAUUGUUUAUAAUGUAAUAAGUAUAGUUCAGCCAAGUACCUCUUAGUAUGAUAUUUGUAUACAACCUGUAUACCUUGUGUAACAUAAGGAUGGAAUUUUGGCUUUGUGUUAGCAUAAUUCCAUGACACAAAUUAAUAUUUGAUUUGCCUUCAUAAGAUAAUAGCAAUCAAAUGAAAUUCUAUAUAUACAAAUUUUAAACUAUCAUGACAAUUGUAUAAACUUGUUGUGUAUCAUGUUUAGUUGUUAUUUUGAGAAGUGUAAUAUUGCAUGUUAUUUUUAUUGAUAUCAGAUUUUAUUAUACCGUUGCAUUUGUCCUAAAGCAGCUGAUAUUUAGCAUACUUACUGUAUGUUGUUUUCUAUUCAUAUCAAGAUGGUCAUGUUAGUCAGAAAAAUCUUUAAAAAAGUAUAUUAGUUUGUCUGAUAAGCAUCUGGUAUUGGUAUAUAAAAUAGUCUGUGAACUUUAUAGCUCAUUCAAUGAGACCAGCUCUACAUAUUUCAAAUUGUGCCAAGAUGUUCGCUUCUCAAUCUUGUCAUGUGCAGUGCUUAAGCCAGCGCUGAAGUUAACGGAAAACAUUGUGGAAAACUAUGAUGAACCAUUUUACAAGCAUCAUUUGAGAGAAUGCACAAGUGUAAUUUUACUGUGUUGCAUUAAGCAGAAGAAUACAAUAAAUGGUAAACAAGUAUGAACUAAUUGUUCUGUUUGCUUAGUGCCUUUUUUAAAGAUGCACUGUUACUCCCAAAUAAGAUUAACCAUGGUUAAUACUAUUUUGAUAUUC
Molecule: long non-coding RNA, 1964 nt
Organism: Mya arenaria
Lineage: Eukaryota; Metazoa; Mollusca; Bivalvia; Myida; Myidae
Exons: 3
Source: RefSeq, a predicted model, not a curated record